CUGCCCCUUCCUGCCGCCGCGGCGAGUGCUUGGUCUCUGGUAAGCCGAGUGCCCCGCUCCUGGGAGCGGCCUUUGCUCUGCUCGGACCUCUCGUUUUGGUAGCUUGUCCCCAGUUAACGGCCGGGAGUUUCCCUGUACACAGCUCUCGUUUUCUCUUCAGCUUGGGAGCUUGUUGCAAGGGGCGCCAGAGCCCUGCAGGGCAGGUGCUGCUUUGUUUCCCUCUUCUCCCACCUAGUACCGUAUCCYGCAUUUGUKAACUCCUGCCUUGGAACYGGACACAGCGGCAUCACCUGGCGCRGCCUUYGCAGCCCAGGGAUGGGUCCCUGGUUGCGGUUUACUUCCAGCGCAGAAGUUUGGCUCCUCCUUUAAGUCAUGGAACCAGCUGCUGUUCCAGCUUAGAAGUGCAGCCCCAGGUUUCAGCAAGAGCCCGGUGACUCCUUUCCAUCUCUGCCCUGCGAGGGAGGCAGUCGGCACAGAGGAACUGUGCCGAGAGGCAUCCGGGCACCGCAUCGCGGCAGAGGAAGCCUGUUGGCAGCCGGGACCCRGCGCUUUCAGAAAGGGAUGCAGGGAUGACAGCUGCCUCUCAUCUGGGACGUGUUGGAAAAGAAGCRAGUAGAAGUUAAGCUGGCAAGUGUAGGAACUUCUUCUGGUGGGAGRAAUGCCAGYGGAUCGCCCAGGUGGGUUUUAGUUACCCUCUGCCUUAGCCCUGCUCAGGCUGCUGAGCCGAGACACUGACCGUGGCUUUAUACUUAAGGAAGACGCGAAGGACGGCUUUGUGCCAGCCCUCCACGGGGUUUCUGCUAUGUAACGCYGCCUCUAGCAACAAGCUGGAGAGGAGCUCGAGACRCCUGGGUCGGAGAUGCCCUGCGAGCUUUGCCCUUGCAGACAGGGGACCUCGGCUGGCUCCCGGGGCUGCGUCAGGUGAACAAGCCUGGCCAGGCACAGAGCGGCCGCACAGGAGCGUCUCUGCCAGGCCGGUCUCUGCUCAGA
RNAcentral lists this long non-coding RNA (990 nucleotides) under Apteryx owenii (little spotted kiwi). RNAcentral describes it as "lncRNA (ENSAOWG00000019210.1)". Lineage: Eukaryota; Metazoa; Chordata; Aves; Apterygiformes; Apterygidae. The record is from RNAcentral.